UUGCUGUAAAAAAAAAAAAAAAAAGGCUAUUGGAUUGCUACACAAGGUAUGUUAAGAUUGCUGUAUCCGCUAUCGAAAGUAAAUUUCGUCGAUGAUAUUUUCGACAUUUCAUAAUUUUUUCCCCCACUAUUUCAAAUCACCCGUUUCCUCAUGGUUAUUACCUCAAAUGAUCUGAAAGCUCAAGUGAGCUAUUCUGAUGACCUUUUGUUCGGUGUCAGUCUGUCCGCCCGUCCGUAAACUUAUAACAUUUUCGAUUUUUCCAGAACCACAGGGCUGAUUUCAACUACAAAGCAUGUAUGGGUAAAGAGAAUUAGAGUUUGUUUAAAUGAAGUGUGAAGAUAUGAACAAUUAGUAAAUAUUUUAUGGCGUCAUUUAAUAAUCUUCUUCAGUACCACUGAGCCAUUUUCAAUCAAACGUAGCACAUACCAUCCUUGGGUGAAGGGAAUUCAAGAUUCUUUAAAUGAAUGGGCACGCUCCCUCCAAAAGGGUGAAAUAAUCAAGAAAAGGCAAGAAUAGGGUGUUCAUGUAAAUACCACAAUGCCAGAAAAGUUGAAAUUUAUAUGAAUUCUUCCUGAUUCAUUUUUGUUAAAAUCACGGCCUUGGGAGUAGAGUGGAGUCAAAGUUUUCCAUGGGAAUAUAUAGGAAAAAAAUUCUUCUCCAUAACAACAAGGUCAUGAAUACUCAUAUUAAUAUACAAGCACCACCAGGUAAUGCAAAUUUAAGUGCAUGUAUGUUCAAAGCACGACCAGGGGGGCAGGGGCAGGAUGGAGCUACAAUAAGGGAUCACAGUUUUAUAUGGAAAUAUAUAAGGGUACAUCUUUGAAAAUUUUCUUCCAGUUGUGCAAAUUCAAGUUUGUUUAAUUCAGGGACCAUAGAGGUAGGUUGAAGCUAAAUCAUAUCAAAAUGCUAUUUUUCUAAAUUCUGUGAAUUCAGGUUUUCAUGAUGCCCCCUUGUAACUUAAGACUGUGUGAAGACAUACUGUUUUGGUACUUGAACCUGGUUUGUAACUUUUGAAUGACUAGUGAUAACGUUCUUAUAUUUCAUAUCUGUAUUUCUUCUGACAAGACCUUUCUUUUGGUACCAAAGCCUUUGACCUUGUGACCUUGACCUUUGAGUUUGACCUAAUUCUAAGAAAAUCUAAGAUAGGCAAUAUCACCUUGAACUAUUCAAGAUAGUGCCUUCAUAUAGUAUGCUCUCAUAGUUCCUGCCCUCUGGGUUUUCUUCUUUAUUAGUGAAAUAAAGUAGGUACGGGCAGUUUCUAUACAUUCAAUAUCAUGGGAGUCCUCAUUGGAGCGAAAAAAUUAGUGACUGUUUUUAUUUUGGGAUUUUCAUAACUAGACGGUAACGAAUGCUAGAUUAAUAGUGAAAGAGAGUUGGUAUAAGGUUGCAUCACUCUAUAUAUCUGAAGGUACACGUCGAAAUAAAAUAAUUCCAGGAACUCUCCUUGUAUUAUGGGACUUUACUUAAGAGGCAGGCUCUCAAUUUUUGUGAGGUUUAAUUAAAGUAUAAAGUUUGAUAUUUUGUGAGUAAAAGACACCAAAGAAGGAUAUGAAUAUUUUUUAAAUUUUUAUUGUAGAUGUUGUUGAAUUGGCUUUUGACCAGCUGAUUUAUCACGUGUUUGUCUUUAAGGCAAACAAACUCUCAUGUCUCGCUGGAUGGUUACCGUGCCAGACGAGUACCUUCAAGACUUUACGAACCGAGAGCAGCACAGUCGAGGGAAGUAGAUUUUCUGGGUCGCUGGUUCAUCCGGUGUAUUGAAGAGAAGAUUUGAAAAUCAAAGUUCCGAGAACAGAGAUGGUGUAUAUUGCCUGGGUUGCUGGCUUAAAAGGAUUUCUGUCUCGAGACCAGUAUAUUACCACCUGUCACCUUCUACAGGUAUUGGUGUCUCCCGUGGGAACCCACAGUUCUUGAUGAGGUCUUUGAGUCGAUGUGCACGAGUUGGCUUUUGACAAGCUGAUUUAGGACGUACCUGACAUCAAUGUAAACAAUAGAUGACGCCUUUCUGGAAACCUCGUAAACUCAGCACAAAUGCCAUCCACUACAAAAACCAUGGAUUACAGCAAAAAGUUUUCAAUGGAGCAAACAAAAUUAAGACUUGCUUGCUUAGAAACAUAAAAUCUUUUUAUAGGAGAUUCAUGGAGAUUCCGAAUGUAGUCAUAUACAUAGAUAUUAGAAAUACAGUAAAACACGGUUACAAUGAACAUUUUUAUAAUGAAUUCACGUUUACAGUGAAGUGAUUUUCAUUCUCUAUUAUUUUAAGACAAAUUAUGAACUUAUUGGAUAAAAAAUAUAUUUUACGAUGGAUCAAAAUUGUUCGUCUCAAGCGUGUUUUACCGUAGAAGCUUUGAAACAAUGUCCAGCAGGUUAAAGAUUUAUAUCAACUUUUACUCUCAAUCAAUUUUCUUUCUAUCUGCAAUAAACAGGGACAAGAUUGCCUUUGACUUUUGAGAUUGAAGAUGAUGGACUAUAGUUAGUUGUAAGUUUAAGCUUUAGGACAAAUUAUUUCAUCAGUAUGACUAUUAAUUAUAUUUCUAUCCUCAUAAACACAUUCUAACCACUCUCUGAGACUUUCGAAUCAUACUUUAUGUAACAUCUAAUCUAGGAGAGUGGACUUUGAUGAAUCCUAUCAACUUAGAAAAGUCACCAUCAGUGGGUCUACUAUUGUUAGGGGCAAUCAUGUUUCACAUAGUCUACAUGUAUCAUAACUUGAUUUUAUAUUUAUAUCAAUUGCCUUUUACACUAGAUUUUUUGUUUCAAAAUUUCUGUAUUCAUUUUUUAAAAUUAACUUGUGUAUUGAAAUAACUAUUAGCUUGGGAGACCUUUUUUGUCUAAUUUUUAAUGGAAAUUUGAUUAUGUCAAACAUCUUUUCAUUUUUCUUUUUCCUUUUUUCCCCCUAUUGGUUAGAAAAUUCUAUAUUGAUUUGAAAAAUGUUGUAAAUUGUAAUGUACUUCGAAAUCAAAAUAUAAGCUCCAUCAAUGUUA
Long non-coding RNA from Ostrea edulis (European flat oyster), 2981 nucleotides. RefSeq lists it as uncharacterized. The record is from RefSeq and is a predicted model, not a curated record. The transcript is spliced from 5 exons. Lineage: Eukaryota; Metazoa; Mollusca; Bivalvia; Ostreida; Ostreidae.